CCGCUCGAGGCCUAGUUCUCUGUGUGCUACCGUGAUAGAACCAAGCCCAGCUCUUGACAUCGGGAGAAAGGACUGGUCAGUGAGGGUCUGGGAAAAAAAUAGAAGAACAAAAAUCUUUAGGAAAGGGGUCCCUGGAAGUAGAAUAGGCCGAGCAGGCCGCGUCAUCUGGGGAGCUGUAGUCCAGAACAGUUUGUCCCCGGCGCAGGCGCACGUUCCCCGAGGAUGCGCGCGCAGCCUCGACGCCAUGAUUUGUUCUUAAGCUUCGAACUCAGCUCUUUUUCAUAGGUCAGUCCAGGCUCCGGACCCGGUUCCAGGUAUCAAGCCUGAAGCACCAGAGAGAGGGUCCUGGACUGAGGAGACAGAAAUCUCAGCCCCAGAGUGAAGGUCCCAGAUAAAAGUGAUCUUGCAUCUAGUCCCCAGGUGCUGGGGAACAGGGACUCAUCCCAGGAGGAGACACACCUGGCGUGAAACCUUUAGUCAGAGUUUCAGGAAUGAGCAAGUCCUAGAAGAUUCAUGUUGGAUCAGUUCCUGUUACCUUGCCUGGGAAAACAGGACUGGGGUGACAUCAGACUAUCCAGAAACCAGUGAGCACUGUUUAACCUUAGAGAAUCUGACCCAAAUGCUUCAGGAAAGAGCUCAACUUUCUCAGAAAUCAGCAUUUCCCCUAACUGUUUCACUGAUCAGAAAGUAAUGUACCCUGGCCUAGUAACAAUGAGAUCCCAGGUGAGUAGGAGUUUCUUCUUAGUCUCCAGAAAUGCCAUCUUAUGGCAGGAAUGUUUUCUGUUAUCCUGGAAGUAUUGUUUAGGUACCUAAGGCCCAGCUGUUUUGCCCCCAGGAGACAGAGAGUGUUCUUAACUUAAUAACACCAUUUCAC
This 874-nucleotide long non-coding RNA is filed under the name Vombatus ursinus (common wombat). RNAcentral's name for it is "lncRNA (ENSVURG00010017942.1)". The record is from RNAcentral. Lineage: Eukaryota; Metazoa; Chordata; Mammalia; Diprotodontia; Vombatidae.